CGCUCAAGCAAUCGCAGUUGCCUCAACCCGUCGUUGCGGUGGCGGGUGGCGCAGCAGCGGCGCACCCAAGCUCGGUUCGAGGUGAGGUCAGUUAGUUAGAGUUGGGGAUCUCGUCAUUUUCGGUAAAAACUUGGGCGACAACACGGUGGAGUGUCGUGGGGUCGGCGGUGCAGGGGCCGCACCACCAUCGGAGCGUCAUCCCAAAAUGGAAACGAAGGGGAAAGGGGUUCGACGUCUCGGGCGCCGCUGGCUCCGCCCUCCCCUCCCCUCGGUACCUCUAGCCCCCCGUCGUGGGCCGCUCGUCGACGAGGUUCCUCGUGGUCUUCUAGAUGGCGCUGACCAAGCGGAAGCGGCUGAGUCUACCGCUGCCGGCGUAGUGCCCGGGGCUGCGGUAGUCCAAGAAGCGGUACAGGUCGGAGGGGGCGCGGCUGGAGUUCGUCCAGACCCGGUAGCGGCUGAGGUUCGCCGACCCCAUGGAGCCGAAGCCGCUCAAGUAGUGGCGCUACGUCGAGCAGAGAAACCGCGUCCGCCCCUUACUCUAUAGGGUCCUGUCGGAAGUCGCCCUUCUAGAUUAGUCGAAGUUAGGGGGUCACUACCUCCCAAACCUACGAGUUGAACGCUUUAGCUUCGUAAACCGUUUCUCCCAGCUAGUCCUAUACCUACCUAAAGGAGUCCGUGUCCCUGGAAGAUGAUUGGUAACCAAGUUGAGUUUCAGUAGGUUCUUCUAUGGGGACUGACGACAAUGAAGACAGUAACUACCUAAUUUUUCUGAUAUGUAGCUUUUUAACUUCGGAAACCUUCAAUGUAUGUUUAAGUUACUAAAACACAGGGGCAAUGACUGUUUGUCACUAAAACUACGUUUCGGUUACCAAUACGAGAAUCCAGUUAUAAGAUGUCCCUUUUGAUGAAAGUAGUUUGUAGACGAUUUUUGUUCGAUAGGUCCACGGGUAUAACCUGGCCUCGGCUGUUGGCUGUCUAAACAACAACAGUACAGUCCUGGACUACUUUCCUGAUAGGGACCUUUAUGAAAUCGACAAGUUCGUCUAUACGGAAAAUCACCAGAGUGUUGUAAACCCUGAAGCAAAAACAGGUUCAAACUUACGAGAGUCUACGGUGUAGGUGAUGAUCUCGUAUAGUGCAAACAUCUGUGUGGACCACAAGAAAGACCACUUUUCGUUGCCUGUGUUGCAUCGAUACUUAAGUGUCCACAAUGUAGUACCAAACGACGGUUCACACUGGAAUAGGACGAAGACAAACUAGGAGUAUUCGAACUAUAGUCGCUACUCAAAUUUGCACAGUAGCCUAGAAAUGCACCUGUACUACUGUUUUAUGCACAUCAAGAUUUGUUCCGGCUGGUUUAACUGUGAGUUGUCGAAUACUCUCAAAUACCACGUGAAUACACCAGAGAACCAUUUCAUAACUUAUGGGGACUCCACAGCGCGCAAAUAUAACCUAGCAAGUUACUAUUUGGUCAUUUCCUUAGUCGACAACCGGGCUAGCCUUUCCUUGAUAAACUCUUUCUCGUCCUACUAGAGGAAAGACUAGAUUUUCUAUAUGGUUUCUUUCGAACACUGGCGUCCUAGUUACUUAAGCAGUUUGCACGAUCUCGACGGUUCUAUGUACGAAUAUAUUAACCCGUAGAUUUCUUAGUCUACGGAUGCUACUACCCGUUUCGAUUUCGGGUCGUCUUUGAAUAGCUGUUAAACCUCCCGCUCAAACGUUUCCACGUUUCCCUUGUGGUAGAGGGGCGCCCCCUAAAGGGAAUGCACCUCGUGAAGUCUCUUCGUAACCCGCCCAUGUCGUAGCUGUCCAAGCUCUUCCACUUCGGGUUCUACUAGGUCCGCCACCUGCUGUACGAGCCCAUGCUGUAGGGCCUCGACGAGUUCUUGAAGUCCUUGGGAAUGCUCACUCGUUUAUAGUACUAGCCUUCUGCCGAAACCAAGCGUCAAGCUGUACAGUCCGCACCUACCGCCACCGAACGGGUAUCCCAAAACCGACGGUCACAUCAUCCCACAAAUAACGAUGAUGUGACAUGGGUAACAACAUAAUAUUGACAUAAUACGUAUUAUGCUCGGUCUUCGUUAACGAGUCAACAAGCGACCUCUUGCCGGAAUAACAUUACCGUACCUUCAGCCUUAUACCCUACCACCAACGUAAAUAGGAAGUCUACUAGUAGAUAAGCAAGGCUCCUUGUCGAAC
Molecule: ribosomal RNA, 2199 nt
Filed under: Triticum aestivum (bread wheat)
Lineage: Eukaryota; Viridiplantae; Streptophyta; Magnoliopsida; Poales; Poaceae
Description: partial small subunit ribosomal RNA
Source: RNAcentral